CCUACGGGUGGCAGCAGUGAGGAAUAUUGGUCAAUGGACGAGAGUCUGAACCAGCCAAGUAGCGUGAAGGAUGACUGCCCUAUGGGUUGUAAACUUCUUUUAUACAGGAAUAAAACGAGGCACGUGUGCCUUUUUGCAUGUACUUUAUGAAUAAGGAUCGGCUAACUCCGUGCCAGCAGCCGCGGUAAUACGGAGGAUCCGAGCGUUAUCCGGAUUUAUUGGGUUUAAAGGGUGCGUAGAUGGGUGGGUAAGUCAGUGGUGAAAGUAUGCGGCUCAACUGCGGAAUUGAAAGUGAUACUGUGAGGAGAGAGAUUAGUUGAGGGAGGCGGAAGGUAUGGUGUAGCGGUGAAAUGCUUAGAGAGCAUACAGAACACAGAUUGCGAAGGCAGCUUACGAAGCUACUUCUGACGUUGAUGCUCGAAAGUGUGGGGAGCAAACAGGAGUAGAGACCCCAGUAGUC
RNAcentral lists this ribosomal RNA (460 nucleotides) under uncultured bacterium. Its description in RNAcentral is "partial 16S ribosomal RNA". It matches the Rfam family "Bacterial small subunit ribosomal RNA", at positions 338 to 795 of the family's 1533-position model. The record is from RNAcentral.